This 526-nucleotide ribosomal RNA is filed under the name uncultured Gammaproteobacteria bacterium. RNAcentral's name for it is "bacterial SSU rRNA". It matches the Rfam family "Bacterial small subunit ribosomal RNA", at positions 8 to 524 of the family's 1533-position model. Lineage: Bacteria; Pseudomonadati; Pseudomonadota; Gammaproteobacteria. The record is from RNAcentral.
AGAGUUUGAUCCUGGCUCAAGAUUGAACGCUGGCGGCAGGCCUUAACACAUGCAAGUCGAGCGGAUGACAGGAGCUUGCUUCCUGAAUUCAAGCGGCGGACGGGUGAGUAAUGCCUAGGAAUCUGCCUGGUAGUGGGGGACAACGUUUCGAAAGGAACGCUUAAUACSGCAUACGUCCUACGGGAGAAAGCAGGGGACCUUCGGGCCUUGCGCUAUCAGAUGAGCCUAGGUCGGAUUAGCUAGUUGGUGAGGUAAUGGCUCACCAAGGCGACGAUCCGUAACUGGUCUGAGAGGAUGAUCAGUCACACUGGAACUGAGACACGGUCCAGACUCCUACGGGAGGCAGCAGUGGGGAAUAUUGGACAAUGGGCGAAAGCCUGAUCCAGCCAUGCCGCGUGUGUGAAGAAGGUCUUCGGAUUGUAAAGCACUUUAAGUUGGGAGGAAGGGCAGUAAAUUAAUACUUUGCUGUUUUGACGUUACCGACAGAAUAAGCACCGGCUAACUCUGUGCCAGCAGCCGCGGUAAU